AAACCUAUGUUCUCCUUUCGCACCUACGC
This 29-nucleotide small RNA is filed under the name Bombyx mori (domestic silkworm). Its description in RNAcentral is "ovarian small RNA-9951". The record is from RNAcentral. Lineage: Eukaryota; Metazoa; Arthropoda; Insecta; Lepidoptera; Bombycidae.